RNAcentral lists this long non-coding RNA (262 nucleotides) under Brassica napus (rape). RNAcentral's name for it is "long non-coding RNA (BNAP_LNC001682)". Lineage: Eukaryota; Viridiplantae; Streptophyta; Magnoliopsida; Brassicales; Brassicaceae. The record is from RNAcentral.
AAAGGGAAAUAAUGUAAAGUUGGAGAAAUAGGUGAUUGGUUAGAGGGUAGCUGUAGAAAUUUUAAUAGUAUUGAUUUUGUCUGUAAAAUGUUUUUGAACAUUGUUGUAUAUAAGAGGGUGUUAUUGGAUUAUGUAUUUAUAAAGAGUUAUCUAGAUUUUGAUUUUCUAAUAAUUGUAGUGUUAUUCAGUCAUGACUUUUCAAAAGUAUAAGUCUGAUGUUAUUGGUUUAUGGAUUUGUAAUAACUAAUAAGUGGCUAAAAUU